Molecule: ribosomal RNA, 258 nt
Filed under: uncultured bacterium
Lineage: Bacteria
Description: partial 16S ribosomal RNA
Rfam family: Bacterial small subunit ribosomal RNA
Source: RNAcentral
UACGUGAGGGGCCAAGCGUUGUCCGGAUUUAUUGGGCGUAAAGAGCGUGUAGGCGGCCAUGUAGGUCCGGUGUGAAAACCUCGAGGCUUAACCUCCGAGAUGUCAUCGGAAACCAUUUGGCUAGAGUCCGGAAGAGGAGAGUCGGAAGUUCCUGGUGUAGCGGUGAAAUGCGCAGAUAUCAGGAAGAACACCAAUGGCGAAAGCAGCUCUCUGGGACGGUACUGACGCUGAGACGCGAAAGCGUGGGGAGCGAACAGG